CAGCCGCCGCGGGAAAACGUAGGGUGCAAGCGUUAAUCGGAAUUACUGGGCGUAGAGCGUGCGCAGGCGGUUUGUUAAGACAGAUGUGAAAUCCCCGGGCUCAACCUGGGAACUGCAUUUGAAACUGGCAAGCUAGAGUCUUGUAGAGGGGGGUAGAAUUCCAGGUGUAGCGGUGAAAUGCGUAGAGAUCUGGAGGAAUACCGGUGGCGAAGGCGGCCCCCUGGACAAAGACUGACGCUCAGGUGCGAAAGCGUGGGGAGCAAACAGGAUUAGAUACCCGCGUAGUCCCUGUCUCUUAUAC
RNAcentral lists this ribosomal RNA (301 nucleotides) under uncultured bacterium. Its description in RNAcentral is "partial 16S ribosomal RNA". It matches the Rfam family "Bacterial small subunit ribosomal RNA", at positions 509 to 807 of the family's 1533-position model. The record is from RNAcentral.